GUAGGGUGCGAGCGUUGUCCGGAAUUACUGGGCGUAAAGAGCUCGUAGGUGGUUUGUCGCGUCGUCUGUGAAAUUCCGGGGCUCAACUCCGGGCGUGCAGGCGAUACGGGCAAACUUGAGUACUGUAGGGGAGACUGGAAUUCCUGGUGUAGCGGUGAAAUGCGCAGAUAUCAGGAGGAACACCGGUGGCGAAGGCGGGUCUCUGGGCAGUAACUGACGCUGAGGAGCGAAAGCAUGGGGAGCGAACAGGAUUAGAUACCCUGGUAGUCCAUGCCGUAAACGGUGGGCGCUAGGUGUGGGUUUCCUUCCACGGGAUCCGUGCCGUAGCUAACGCAUUAAGCGCCCCGCCUGGGGAGU
This 357-nucleotide ribosomal RNA is filed under the name uncultured bacterium. RNAcentral describes it as "bacterial SSU rRNA". It matches the Rfam family "Bacterial small subunit ribosomal RNA", at positions 527 to 881 of the family's 1533-position model. The record is from RNAcentral.